This is a long non-coding RNA of Acanthopagrus latus (yellowfin seabream), 1471 nucleotides long. RefSeq lists it as uncharacterized. The record is from RefSeq and is a predicted model, not a curated record. The transcript is spliced from 4 exons. NCBI's taxonomy places the organism in Eukaryota, Metazoa, Chordata, Actinopteri, Spariformes, Sparidae.
UAACAUUAAACUCACUUCAAACGCCAUUGCAUAGCGGACCGAAGUGGAGCUAACUGGUUAGCCGAUUUCCAGCUGACUUCACCAGACUCAUAGGCAACUAUGAAUACUAUUAAACUGUGGCGACACUUUUCAGUGGUUCGGGUGCAGUUGCUGGGUCCGGUAUGGUUGGGACUGAUCCUUUCAGUCAGUGUUGAGGCAAAGCCAGCUUUGUACUGACCCUCGUUAUUUAAAGGGGACAUAUUAUGCAAAACCCACUUUUUCCUUGCUUUACUAUGUAUAAUUGCAUAUCCGGAGUGCCUCCCGACCCCUUAAGAAUGAUUUAGGACCUCUACGUCAAUGUUUUGUAAAUAGGCGGAGUCAGGAAAUGUGUCUCUAAAAGAGCCAUUUGGAUUUCACCCGCACAGUUACGUAACAGUACGGGUGAUUUGAAUGCUCCAGCCCUCAGGCUGGAUAUCUCCUCCCAUAUUACUCCGGCUACCUGAAGGAGAAUCCGCCAUUUUCUCGCUUCACUUGUAUGCGACAGCCUGACCGCUAGCAUGUACAACCCGAAAGCCAAGCACUCCUGCUCUGUCGUCGGAUGCAUGGACACUCAUGUUUCCCUACAUCGCCUCCCUACCAAAGAGGAUAUCAGAGCGAAGUGGCUAAAUUUUAUUUUUCAGGGAAACGUCCCAGCUUCACUGAGCAAAAUCGUUGUUGUCUGUGCCAAUCACUUCACACCGGACUGUUUCAGCAACCAGGGUCAAUAUCCGGCUGGACUGGCAACGAGAUUGUUCCUAAAAGAUGGAUCAAUACCCACUGUCCGUGUCAACGCCACAGAAGAAGAAACUCCAAGCACAUCUGUACAGCAGUCUGUAGUGCAUCAUGUUGCCUGCCAGACAGACCAAGCAGUGAAAUGCACGGUUGGCACACAGCUUUCCAUGAGAACUAUCCGGCCUCACUUCAGAAGCACAGACUCUACCUGGCUGCCCUGCAUUACAAUGAAAAUACUGACUGACCACAGGCAACAUCUACAGGUGGAGAGCUUCUGUACAGUCAACUUCCCCAAAUCUAAGCAUGGAGAAUGAACUGCAAAGCCUGUGAAAGCAGAGCCAACAUUCCACUACGUUGAUGCACUGUUGGACCUGAUCUUCAAGAAGGUUUUCCAGGACCCUGGCCCAUAUGUGAACGAGGUGCUGAAACUUACAAUCCCUGAAGACCUCUCGGCUCAGUAUGAAAGACCCAACAACUCUGCAUGAAUCCUCAGCAUCACGCAGGCAGGCAGCACAGCUCUCACUCUUCGCCCCAGAAAGCACCAGCACCAGCUUACAAAGCUGCUGUAGGCUACGUAUCUAUAUUGGCUGGACACAAAUCAGUAGAAAGUCAGCACUGAAUGUUCACAUCCAUGGCAACUGGCAAGUUUAACUGUUCCACUUUAGAUAUUUAUUUUGUAUGUCUACAAUUGUUUCUUGCAAUAAAACUUCUCUCCCAACUG